GUCCACGCCGUAAACGAUGUCUGCUAGCCGUUGGGAUCCUUGAGGUUUCGGUGGCGCAGCUAACGCGAUAAGCAGACCGCCUGGGGAGUACGGCCGCAAGGUUAAAACUCAAAUGAAUUGACGGGGGCCCGCACAAGCGGUGGAGCAUGUGGUUUAAUUCGAUGCAACGCGAAGAACCUUACCAGGUCUUGACAUCCAGAGAACUUUCCAGAGAUGGAUUGGUGCCUUCGGGAACUCUGAGACAGGUGCUGCAUGGCUGUCGU
RNAcentral lists this ribosomal RNA (263 nucleotides) under uncultured bacterium. RNAcentral's name for it is "partial 16S ribosomal RNA". It matches the Rfam family "Bacterial small subunit ribosomal RNA", at positions 793 to 1055 of the family's 1533-position model. The record is from RNAcentral.